GGUCGCUGUGCACAGACCCUGGUGACCUGAAGCUCCCUGGCUGUCACUCUGUCCCAGCCCCCCCUGGCCCAGGGGACACAGCCUGAGUCCAAGCAAAGUCUGUGGGGUCCUGACCCUGGCGUCUGGCUGCCCCUGGAUGGC
Molecule: microRNA precursor, 141 nt
Filed under: Canis lupus familiaris (dog)
Lineage: Eukaryota; Metazoa; Chordata; Mammalia; Carnivora; Canidae
Description: miRNA (ENSCAFG00000052809.1)
Rfam family: mir-8813 microRNA precursor family (bases 20-116)
Source: RNAcentral